Molecule: unclassified non-coding RNA, 350 nt
Filed under: soil metagenome
Description: partial contains 5.8S ribosomal RNA, internal transcribed spacer 2, and large subunit ribosomal RNA
Rfam family: 5.8S ribosomal RNA (bases 1-120)
Source: RNAcentral
GAUGAAGAACGUAGCGAACUGCGAUAAGUAAUGUGAAUUGCAGAAUUCAGUGAAUCAUCGAGUCUUUGAACGCACAUUGCGCCCCCUGGCAUUCCGGGGGGCAUGCCUGUCCGAGCGUCUUUGCUGCCCUUCAAGCCCGGCUUGUGUGUUGGGUCGUCGUCCCCCCCGGGGGACGGGCCCGAAAGGCAGCGGCGGCACCGCGUCCGGUCCUCGAGCGUAUGGGGCUUUGUCACCCGCUCGAUUAGGGCCGGCCGGGCGCCAGCCGGCGUCUCCAACCUUUUAUUUUACCAGGUUGACCUCGGAUCAGGUAGGGAUACCCGCUGAACUUAAGCAUAUCAAUAAGCGGAGGA